This 106-nucleotide ribosomal RNA is filed under the name Prolemur simus (greater bamboo lemur). Lineage: Eukaryota; Metazoa; Chordata; Mammalia; Primates; Lemuridae. The record is from RNAcentral.
GUCUACAGCGAUACCACCCUGAACGUGCCCAAUGUCGUCUGAUCUUAGAAGCUAAGCAGGGUUGGCCUGGUUAGCACUUGCAUGGCAGAGUACAUGAUCUAAGGCC